AGAACCCGAUGUGGGGCUGGAACUCACGAACUGUGAGAUCAUGACCCAAGCCAAAGUUGGACGCUUAACCAAUGGAGCCACCCAGGCAACCCUAGAGCUUCUUAAAAGGGGAAACUUUAAAGAAUUAUGCUGCUAGUUUUUAAAUAUCAACCAACAGGUAUCCAGGCUAACAUGCUGGAUCAUCUGAUAAAUGGUCCAAGAAAGAGUACCAGUGUCCAUCUUGUAGCAUUAAAUAUCAGCGAUCACUUUAUGGAAACAGAUUAUGAAGAAAGAAAAUGAGUGAAUAAUAAAGUUUGCAAGACAGAUAUGUGCAAAGCAUUUCUGUUGAAAAUUUUCAACAAAACCUAUUAUACAACUGUAUUCUUAUGCAAAGAGACAUUGUGUAGCUGCUGUCACCAGACGAGAGGACAUCAACAAGACAUCCUGAACCCAAGGGAUAGAAACUAAUUACGAGACUGUGCAUCAAGAAUUGGUGUGGCAGCAUCAGAAAAUGCCAACCAGAUAAGCACAAUUUUCAGACCACACACAAAAUAGAAAUGAUCACCUUACACAGGUAUCCCUACAUCUGGUAAAAGGAUCUAUAGAUAUGGUAAUUUCCUGGAAACAUUCUAUCAAAAUCCUAAAGCUAUCUCUAAAAGGUAGACCUCCUGGUAAACUCAUCAAGUGGGGGGAACUCCAUACUGAAUAUAUGUGUUUGUGGGGAUACAAUUAAGGAUGAGAUUUAUAUGUGGGGCGCCUGGGUGGCUCAGUCGGUUAAGCGCCCAACUUCAGCUCAGGUCAUGAUCUCACGGUCCGUGAGUUCGAGCCCCACGUCGGG
Felis catus (domestic cat) is the source of this 817-nucleotide long non-coding RNA. RefSeq lists it as uncharacterized. The record is from RefSeq and is a predicted model, not a curated record. Lineage: Eukaryota; Metazoa; Chordata; Mammalia; Carnivora; Felidae. The transcript is spliced from 3 exons.